UAAGCGGAGGAAAAGAAACUACANGGAUUCCCCUAGUAACUGCGAGUGAAGCGGGAAAAGCUCAAAUUUAAAAUCUGGUGGUCUUUGGCCAUNCGAGUUGUAAUUUAGAGAAGCGUUUUCCGCGCUGGACCGUGCACAAGUCUCCUGGAAUGGAGCGUCAUAGAGGGUGAGAAUCCCGUCUUUGGCACGGACACACCAGGGCUUUUGUGAUGCGCUCUCGAAGAGUCGAGUUGUUUGGGAAUGCAGCUCAAAAUGGGUGGUGAACUCCAUCUAAAGCUAAAUAUUGGCGAGAGACCGAUAGCGAACAAGUACCGUGAGGGAAAGAUGAAAAGCACUUUGGAAAGAGAGUGAAACAGUACGUGAAAUUGUUGAAAGGGAAACGCUUGAAGUCAGUCGCGUCGACCGAGACUCAGCCUUGCCUUGGCUUGGUGUACUUCUCGGCUGACGGGUCAGCAUCAAUUUCGCCCCUUGGAUAAUGGCGAGGGAUAUGUGACACCUUUAUGGUGUGUUAUAGUCCCUUGUCGCAUGCAAGGGUUGGGAUUGAGGAACUCAGCACGCACCUUUGGUGUCGGGGCUUUGCCCACGAUACGUGCUUAGGAUGUUGGCGUAAUGGCUUUAAACGACC
This 625-nucleotide ribosomal RNA is filed under the name uncultured Russulaceae. RNAcentral describes it as "LSU rRNA". It matches the Rfam family "Eukaryotic large subunit ribosomal RNA", at positions 47 to 649 of the family's 3401-position model. The record is from RNAcentral. Lineage: Eukaryota; Fungi; Basidiomycota; Agaricomycetes; Russulales; Russulaceae.